CUCGGUGUGUAGAUGCAUGGCUAUAUGAGUAGCGGCUAGUCCAUGUACUCAGUGUGUAUAUAUUUCGUAUAUCAGGUGCUGUACCAAAUAGUUGUGUUGUGUUCUCUGCACCAGUUCUAGGUUUUGGGUUUUCCCAAUCCUUCUGAGUUGCAAUCUACAUGGUUUAGUCUUCAUUUAGGAUUUUGAGCACUGCAAUAGGAUUUCAAGGUGACAAGGGAGAGAUUGGGAGAGAGUGGGAGAGAUGUUCGAUUCAGAUCGCCCAACCCUCCUCUUCUUCCAAGCUAUGCUACUUUUGAAGAGAAAGAGUAGUAUUUCUUCAGUGAUUGAAAAUACCCUAACGGCUAAUGGCCGAACAGAGUUGCAGGUUCCAGUUAUUGGAAGGCACGACCGAUGGCUGGAAAGUUGGAAUAAAGAAAGCCUUUUUCUAUAUUGGAAAUGCUCCAAGACAAAUUGGCUUAACAAAUUUCAGAACCAAUAAGGAAGAACGACUACACUUAAGGAUUCUUUCAAAUUCUACUAUGUUGUAUACUAUUUAUGCUUCGAUUUUUCUUAAAUUUUGUUCCUGGAUUUUGGAUUUUAAUAAUUUUCCCUUUUGUUCUUCAUAGUUGGAUCAUUGGGUUCUCUGCCGGAUACAGAGAAAAGCUUAAGCAUCCAAAAAUCGGUGUCGGGUGUUUGGAAGAAAGAACAGAGCCACGCUUGUACAUCUUCAUCGUCUUCCUAAUUAGAUGACAUCUUUCGAUCGCUCCCUGAAAUUGAUGACCAGUUCUUCGAUCUCCCAAGGAUUAACUUAAUAGAGAACCUUCAAUUUCAAGAUGUGAAAAAGGCUCACCCCAUUUGAGAAUUACAUGUAUUUUAUGAACAGAUGAGGGUUUCACCGAUGAUGACCAACGAUGAGGGUUUCGCCACCUCCUCUGCCAGCGUGAAUCACAAUCCCUGAAGUCAAUCUUAUUAAGACCCUUUUCAAUUGAAGGGUAAUCCGGCCCUCCGAUGUUUAAAACUAACAAUAUAUUCGCACCUCAAUGUGAGGGGAAGGAACGUAAUUCGUUUAAAUCCUUAGAUCUGUGUGUAAUUUUGACAAACUAUAAGGGAGGGGACGUUAUUUGUUAUUUUUUAAUUUUUUGUGUGGUGUAUUAUACUAAGUUCAUGGCUUGUGUAAUAUAAUGAAUGUAAGAUCGAUCUCGUUAGGGUUUGAUUCAA
This is a long non-coding RNA of Macadamia integrifolia, 1197 nucleotides long. RefSeq lists it as uncharacterized. Lineage: Eukaryota; Viridiplantae; Streptophyta; Magnoliopsida; Proteales; Proteaceae. The record is from RefSeq and is a predicted model, not a curated record. The transcript has 2 exons.